RNAcentral lists this ribosomal RNA (824 nucleotides) under uncultured bacterium. RNAcentral's name for it is "bacterial SSU rRNA". It matches the Rfam family "Bacterial small subunit ribosomal RNA", at positions 46 to 875 of the family's 1533-position model. The record is from RNAcentral.
GCGUCCUAUCAUGCAAGUCGAAACGAGGGUGCCUUGAGUAGCAAUACAAGAGUAUCCUAGUGGCGAACGGGUGAGUAACGCGUGGAUGACCUGCCCCAAAGUGUGGGAUAACAGUCCGAAAGGAUUGCUAAUACCUCAUGUGGUUAUCGGAUUUAGAAACUGAUAACUAAAGCAGCAAUGCGCUUUGGGAGGGAUCUGCGUCCCAUCAGCUAGUUGGUGAGGUAACGGCUCACCAAGGCGACGACGGGUAGGGGACCUGAGAGGGUGGCCCCCCACAAUGGAACUGAAACACGGUCCAUACACCUACGGGUGGCAGCAGUAGGGAAUAUUGCUCAAUGGGCGAAAGCCUGAAGCAGCAACGCCGCGUGUGCGAUGAAGGCCUUCGGGUCGUAAAGCACUUUUCUGAGAGAUGAGAAAGGACAGUAUCUCAGGAAUAAGUCUCGGCUAACUACGUGCCAGCAGCCGCGGUAAAACGUAGGAGGCGAGCGUUAUCCGGAUUCACUGGGCGUAAAGCGCGUGCAGGCGGCUCGGUAAGUUGGGCGUGAAAUCUCCUGGCUUAACUAGGAGAGGUCGUUCAAUACUACCGGGCUUGAGAGUGGUAGAGGAAGAUGGAAUUCCAGGUGUAGUGGUGAAAUGCGUAGAUAUCUGGAGGAACACCAGUGGCGAAAGCGAUCUUCUGGACCAUUUCUGACGCUCAGACGCGAAAGCUAGGGUAGUAAACGGGAUUAGAGACCCCGGUAAUCCUAGCCGUAAACGAUGUAAACUUGGCGUCGGUGGCUUAAACUCCAUCGGUGCCGUAGCUAACGCGAUAAGUUUACCGCCUG